RNAcentral lists this ribosomal RNA (1223 nucleotides) under Salmonella enterica. Its description in RNAcentral is "partial 23S ribosomal RNA". It matches the Rfam family "Bacterial large subunit ribosomal RNA", at positions 1 to 1254 of the family's 2925-position model. Lineage: Bacteria; Pseudomonadati; Pseudomonadota; Gammaproteobacteria; Enterobacterales; Enterobacteriaceae. The record is from RNAcentral.
GGGUUGUGAGGUUAAGCGACUAAGCGUACACGGUGGAUGCCCUGGCAGUCAGAGGCGAUGAAGGACGUGCUAAUCUGCGAUAAGCGCCGGUAAGGUGAUAUGAACCGUUAUAACCGGCGAUUUCCGAAUGGGGAAACCCAGUGUGACUCGUCACACUAUCAUUAACUGAAUCCAUAGGUUAAUGAGGCGAACCGGGGGAACUGAAACAUCUAAGUACCCCGAGGAAAAGAAAUCAACCGAGAUUCCCCCAGUAGCGGCGAGCGAACGGGGAGGAGCCCAGAGCCUGAAUCAGCAUGUGUGUUAGUGGAAGCGUCUGGAAAGGCGCGCGAUACAGGGUGACAGCCCCGUACACAAAAGCGCAUGUGCUGUGAGCUCGAUGAGUAGGGCGGGACACGUGGUAUCCUGUCUGAAUAUGGGGGGACCAUCCUCCAAGGCUAAAUACUCCUGACUGACCGAUAGUGAACCAGUACCGUGAGGGAAAGGCGAAAAGAACCCCGGCGAGGGGAGUGAAAAAGAACCUGAAACCGUGUACGUACAAGCAGUGGGAGCACCCUUUGGGGUGUGACUGCGUACCUUUUGUAUAAUGGGUCAGCGACUUAUAUUCUGUAGCAAGGUUAACCGAAUAGGGGAGCCGGAGGGAAACCGAGUCUUAAUUGGGCGUUAAGUUGCAGGGUAUAGACCCGAAACCCGGUGAUCUAGCCAUGGGCAGGUUGAAGGUUGGGUAACACUAACUGGAGGACCGAACCGACUAAUGUUGAAAAAUUAGCGGAUGACCUGUGGCUGGGGGUGAAAGGCCAAUCAAACCGGGAGAUAGCUGGUUCUCCCCGAAAGCUAUUUAGGUAGCGCCUCGUGAAUUCAUCUCCGGGGGUAGAGCACUGUUUCGGCUAGGGGGCCAUCCCGGCUUACCAACCCGAUGCAAACUGCGAAUACCGGAGAAUGUUAUCACGGGAGACACACGGCGGGUGCUAACGUCCGUCGUGAAGAGGGAAACAACCCAGACCGCCAGCUAAGGUCCCAAAGUCAUGGUUAAGUGGGAAACGAUGUGGGAAGGCCCAGACAGCCAGGAUGUUGGCUUAGAAGCAGCCAUCAUUUAAAGAAAGCGUAAUAGCUCACUGGUCGAGUCGGCCUGCGCGGAAGAUGUAACGGGGCUAAACCAUGCACCGAAGCUGCGGCAGCGACGCUGAUGCGUUGUUGGGUAGGGGAGCGUUCUGUAAGCCUGUGAA